UACGUAGGGUGCGAGCGUUUAAUCGGAAUUACUGGGCGUAAAGCGUGCGCAGGCGGUUUUGUAAGCCAGAUGUGAAAUCCCCGGGCUUAACCUGGGAAUGGCAUUUGGGACUGCAAGGCUUGAGUGCGGCAGAGGAGACUGGAAUUCCUGGUGUAGCAGUGAAAUGCGUAGAUAUCAGGAGGAACACCGAUGGCGAAAGGCAGGUCGUCCU
This 211-nucleotide ribosomal RNA is filed under the name uncultured bacterium. RNAcentral describes it as "partial 16S ribosomal RNA". It matches the Rfam family "Bacterial small subunit ribosomal RNA", at positions 524 to 732 of the family's 1533-position model. The record is from RNAcentral.